Molecule: long non-coding RNA, 495 nt
Filed under: Carica papaya (papaya)
Lineage: Eukaryota; Viridiplantae; Streptophyta; Magnoliopsida; Brassicales; Caricaceae
Description: long non-coding RNA (CPAP_LNC004155)
Source: RNAcentral
AGGGGGUCAAAGUACAAAUAGAGAAAGUUUAACCACGUAGGACUGCCCAGUCAGCAGUCUCGACAAAUUAGAGUGCACCGCGUGGCCAGACGCGCUGAUGUUAGCGCCAUGCGGGAGGCCACGCUGGCGAUCAGUGUGUCUCGCGAUCGGACAGCCCAGGAUCGAUCCUGCGCGUGUGGACGGUCUGAAUCCGCUUCCCCCGUAGGCGCGAUCGGAUGGUCGAUAUCAAACGCGAUGAACGGUCCAGAUUCGUUUCUCCCUUAGGUGUGAUCAAAUGGUCAAGAUCAAACACGAAAAAGCGUCCCGACUCGUUUCCUCCUUAGGCGCAAUCGGACGGACGAGAUUGAUCGCGAUAGACGGUCUAGAUUAAUGCAGGAUGGGUAUAAAUAUUUCGCAUCACACUGAACCCAAACCCUAGCCACCAGCCCCCCCACCGAAGAAGAAGAACCAGACGCCAGAGAAUGAAGCCAACCGCCGCUGCACCGGAGCCACCUC